GAUGAACGCUGGCGGCGUGCCUAAUACAUGCAAGUCGAGCGAACGGACGAGAAGCUUGCUUCUCUGAUGUUAGCGGCGGACGGGUGAGUAACACGUGGAUAACCUACCUAUAAGACUGGGAUAACUUCGGGAAACCGGAGCUAAUACCGGAUGAUAUUUUGAACCGCAUGGUUCAAAAGUGAAAGACGGUCUUGCCGUCACUUAUAGAUGGAUCCGCGCUGCAUUAGCUAGUUGGUAAGGUAACGGCUUACCAAGGCAACGAUGCAUAGCCGACCUGAGAGGGUGAUCGGCCACACUGGAACUGAGACACGGUCCAGACUCCUACGGGAGGCAGCAGUAGGGAAUCUUCCGCAAUGGGCGAAAGCCUGACGGAGCAACGCCGCGUGAGUGAUGAAGGUCUUCGGAUCGUAAAACUCUGUUAUUAGGGAAGAACAUAUGUGUAAGUAACUGUGCACAUCUUGACGGUACCUAAUCAGAAAGCCACGGCUAACUACGUGCCAGCAGCCGCGGUAAUACGUAAGUGGCAAGCGUUAUCCGGAAUUAUUGGGCGUAAAGCGCGCGUAGGCGGUUUUUUAAGUCUGAUGUGAAAGCCCACGGCUCAACCCGUGGAGGGUCAUUGGAAACUGGAAAACUUGAGUGCAGAAGAGGAAAGUGGAAUUCCAUGUGUAGCGGUGAAAUGCGCAGAGAUAUGGAGGAACACCAGUGGCGAAGGCGACUUUCUGGUCUGUAACUGACGCUGAUGUGCGAAAGCGUGGGGAUCAAACAGGAUUAGAUACCCUGGUAGUCCACGCCGUAAACGAUGAGUGCUAAGUGUUAGGGGGUUUCCGCCCCUUAGUGCUGCAGCUAACGCAUUAAGCACUCCGCCUGGGGAGUACGACCGCAAGGUUGAAACUCAAAGGAAUUGACGGGGACCCGCACAAGCGGUGGAGCAUGUGGUUUAAUUCGAAGCAACGCGAAGAACCUUACCAAAUCUUGACAUCCUUUGACAACUCUAGAGAUAGAGCCUUCCCCUUCGGGGGACAAAGUGACAGGUGGUGCAUGGUUGUCGUCAGCUCGUGUCGUGAGAUGUUGGGUUAAGUCCCGCAACGAGCGCAACCCUUAAGCUUAGUUGCCAUCAUUAAGUUGGGCACUCUAAGUUGACUGCCGGUGACAAACCGGAGGAAGGUGGGGAUGACGUCAAAUCAUCAUGCCCCUUAUGAUUUGGGCUACACACGUGCUACAAUGGACAAUACAAAGGGCAGCGAAACCGCGAGGUCAAGCAAAUCCCAUAAAGUUGUUCUCAGUUCGGAUUGUAGUCUGCAACUCGACUACAUGAAGCUGGAAUCGCUAGUAAUCGUAGAUCAGCAUGCUACGGUGAAUACGUUCCCGGGUCU
This 1373-nucleotide ribosomal RNA is filed under the name uncultured bacterium. RNAcentral describes it as "bacterial SSU rRNA". It matches the Rfam family "Bacterial small subunit ribosomal RNA", at positions 28 to 1381 of the family's 1533-position model. The record is from RNAcentral.